UCCACCCUGAUCCUUUGCAGGUCAAGGUA
This 29-nucleotide small RNA is filed under the name Bombyx mori (domestic silkworm). RNAcentral's name for it is "ovarian small RNA-26654". The record is from RNAcentral. Lineage: Eukaryota; Metazoa; Arthropoda; Insecta; Lepidoptera; Bombycidae.